GGGGUUUCAAAUCAUUUGGAUCCUGAUGAAGACAACCAUACUCAUUCAGCUUGCACUAACCUGCAAAUUAAUGUUUGCCACCAGAAACACCUCAGAUACAUGGUGUACAUGCUAUGCAAAUGAGCCAUAAUCUCUUGAUUGCAGGAUUCUUUGAAAUGCAUCAUUUGAUAACCGUUUCAGUUCUUCUACUGGGAGUGAUGCACGAUGUGAAAAUCCCGUGGACAAUCAAGGGCUGCUAGUCUCACUCUCACUCAAGGCCUCCACAGGGUUUUCACAGCUGAGCUGCCACAGCCUAAGCAAGACUCAUGAGUCAAGACUACUCCUGCUCUGCUCACCUUCCUGAUGCCAUCCCCUACCUAGCAGGCAGCAAGUAGUAACACAUCUCUCUCCAUCCUUUGUAAAAGAUGGUCUACAGUAAUACGACAACAGAACAUACUCUGGAGUAUACUCACAGCUAACCCGUGGAAAC
Pogoniulus pusillus (Red-fronted tinkerbird) is the source of this 469-nucleotide long non-coding RNA. RefSeq lists it as uncharacterized. Lineage: Eukaryota; Metazoa; Chordata; Aves; Piciformes; Lybiidae. The transcript is spliced from 3 exons. The record is from RefSeq and is a predicted model, not a curated record.